RNAcentral lists this ribosomal RNA (254 nucleotides) under uncultured bacterium. RNAcentral's name for it is "partial 16S ribosomal RNA". It matches the Rfam family "Bacterial small subunit ribosomal RNA", at positions 524 to 776 of the family's 1533-position model. The record is from RNAcentral.
UACGGGGGGGGUAAGCGUUGUUCGGAAUUACUGGGCGUAAAGGGCUCGUAGGUGGCCAACUAAGUCAGACGUGAAAUCCCUCAGCUUAACCGGGGAACUGCGUCUGAUACUGGAUGGCUUGAGUUUGGGAGAGGGAUGCGGAAUUCCAGGUGUAGCGGUGAAAUGCGUAGAUAUCUGGAGGAACACCGGUGGCGAAGGCGGCAUCCUGGACCAACACUGACGCUGAGUGAGCGAAAGCCAGGGGAGCAAACGGG